Molecule: ribosomal RNA, 445 nt
Filed under: uncultured Streptococcus sp.
Lineage: Bacteria; Bacillati; Bacillota; Bacilli; Lactobacillales; Streptococcaceae
Description: bacterial SSU rRNA
Rfam family: Bacterial small subunit ribosomal RNA
Source: RNAcentral
UGGAGCAUGUGGUUUAAUUCGACGCAACGCGAGAACUUACCAGGCUUGACAUCCCUGACCGCGUAUGAAGUACGUUUUCACCCUCGGGUGACAGGGAGACAGGUGGUGCAUGGUUGUCGUCAGCUCGUGUCGUGAGAUGUUGGGUUAAGUCCCGCAACGAGCGCAACCCCUAUUGUUAGUUGCCAUCAUUCAGUUGGGCACUCUAGCGAGACUGCCGGUAAUAAACCGGAGGAAGGUGGGGAUGACGUCAAAUCAUCAUGCCCCUUAUGACCUGGGCUACACACGUGCUACAAUGGUUGGUACAACGAGUUGCGAGUCGGUGACGGCGAGCUAAUCUCUUAAAGCCAAUCUCAGUUCGGAUUGUAGGCUGCAACUCGCCUACAUGAAGUCGGAAUCGCUAGUAAUCGCGGAUCAGCACGCCGCGGUGAAUACGUUCCCGGGCCUU